This 6338-nucleotide unclassified non-coding RNA is filed under the name Hevea brasiliensis (rubber tree). Lineage: Eukaryota; Viridiplantae; Streptophyta; Magnoliopsida; Malpighiales; Euphorbiaceae. The record is from RNAcentral.
UUUAAUUCAAAAUCGUUUAGAGUGAAGAAAGAAAAUUCAUAUAACCGACUUCAAAUAAAUUUUUGACAUAAAGACUUAGUUGCAUUUGAAUUGAGUUUGAGUUUAACAUAAUAUCAACUUAUUUUGCAAACUAAAUUAACCUGAAAUCAGUUCACCAGCGACAUUUUUGCUAAAAACCAAAAUUGAACAGCAAUUUUCUUUUCUAUUUGUGAGGCUAUACAAUGAGAGUAACUCAUCAAUCCAUUAACCCUCCCAUUUUGACAAAAUGGAGUGCAACACUUCCCUUUCGUCAGGUGUACCGAUGUUUUAUCAUCAGCUAUGAAGGAUUCGAUUUACAAAAAUUGGAACAAUGAGCAAGAAGGUGCAGUUUGAAAUAAAUAAGGAGAAAUAUCUCACAGUUUUGACAGUUUCUUUGAAAACCAUUCUGAUAGACGCUUCAUCUUGUGUGAUAGCACAGCAUUUUUGGCCAAAUAAGAUUGUGCAUUUUCCAUCAUCACAUGUACAUCAUGCUUCACUGCUUCUAUGCUACGGUAAUAGUUGUUUUCUAACCUUGAUCGGAUAAUUUCGGGACACAGAGGAACUGGAAACCUGUUAAAGAAAUCCAACUUCUGAGAAGCUUCAUUCAAUUUUUCAAUUCCAUAAAUAUCCUGAUUUGUGCUCGCUGACUCCUCUAAUUUAUCAAAAGAAAAUAGUAGCUUAUUACUAAUUUUGACAUCAAUAUGAGGGUGCUCCCAUUUCGUCCCAGGAUCAUGCAGUUCCCAAGCACUGUGUCGAUGGUUUUCAAGCGGGUCAGCCUUGUAUCGAAUUAAGUAUCUCUCCCAAGGGCUAUCAGGAAAUUCAUCAGAUUUCGCCUCUAAAGAAAGAAUUCUACCCUCCCACCAACUCCCACCUUCCCCAUUCUCAUUCUUCCACCACACCUGGCAUUUAUCCCUAUGGGUCCAAUUUCUACUGACAGCAGCAUCAUACCUUGUUUUCUCAACAACAAAAUCGGGAAAAUUGAUCAGUUCAGGCAGGGUCAAUUUGAAUGCUUUACCAAAUACACCAGAUGAAGGAUCUAUAAAUCUGAGUAUAACUUUACAGCAGCUAUCCCCAGAACCAGCAGCUGGGGCAUAAUUCAGGCUUUCAACCUUACAAAUUUCCACGGCACCAAGGUAUCCCUUAAUAAAAUUCCAAGGACCUAUUUCUGAUGAGUUUGUUGAUUCAAUAUAUUCUUGAUGGCCCUGUCUCAAAUACACAACUUCAUCGCCUAGCUGAGGGAUAUAACGAUAAUCUUCCUCAUGUUUUGACAAGAUCAGCCAUGACAAUUUCCUUGCAGGUUGACUUGGUUUCCUAGAAAUCAAAGAACUUGAGCAAUUAUCACCUCGCCUGUUUCUAGCAGACCUUGAUCUUACUGCAAUUCUUGAAUUCAUCAACCUUUCUUCAGAUUGGAGCUCAAUACCAUCAUUAUUUGAUGCUCCCAUCAAUUCAUGACCCAAUCUGAACCUUAAAUUAUGGUUCACAUCAUUUUGCUGCCAAGAAGUUGCCUUCAUCUUCAUUGAUCUUGUUCUAUGCAUUGCAUCUGACACAUCUUCUUCCACAAGAUAAUCUAAAUCUUCUAAAUCAGCAAUGCUCUUAUGUGACUUUUCCCUUUCAUGAACAUUGUAUAAAGAAACUGAUCUAACAGAACCUUCACCUUUUCCUGGUACUCCUAAGAGUUGAUUUUGCUCUGAGGGACCUUCAGACAUUAUAUCAACUGCAUCUUGAUGCAAAUCAUCCACAGCUCUCAUAAACUUAAUUUUGGAAGGAGUCCGUAAAUCCCCCAAAGUCCCUUUAGUUCUCAUUUUUAUUUUUGUUAACUUAGGAAGAGGGUUCUCUUUCAGUCCCUCACAAAGGUUUACACCAGCACAUUCUCUUGCUUCCACUGAAUCAAGAUUACUGCAGUCUUUGUCUCCCUCAUCAGAAGCUUCAUCACAAUUGCUGGCAGAAGCACCACAUUUUGAUUGAUGUUCGCCUAGUGAAGAUGACACAAAUGCCAAAGAACUUUGUAUUACACCUGAAGGAACAGGCUCUUCAAUUCUUGCACCAUCUUGAUCCACUUCAAACAGUUCCUCAUCCCCAUUAACAUCAAUCCUUCUCUCCUUGUGUGCAUCAUAACUAGUAUUGACUCCAGUGGAUGCAUUACCUGGCAUUGCAUCUCCUGAUCUUGAAUUCUUGGAAGUACAGAUUUUGAUCUCUCCCCAUCUGAUUUUGCUUCCAUUGUCAUGUGAAGAUCCCUCCAUGUCAUCCUCAACCUUUUCAGGAUUACCUAUACCAGUGACAUGAUUAUUCUGAUUUUGGGACAGAUCCACAUCAAACCAAUGCGAGGAAGAUGACCCUGGAUCUUUGGAGCUUAAAUUGAUUUCAGUUUCUGGAAGAGGCCAGGGACCCAGAUUCAUAUGAUUAACCUGUCUCUUGACAUUGAGCAUUCUGUCUUCUGGAGACACAGGUUUCUUAGAACCCCGAAGUGAAAGCUUCAAGACUAAUUUCUUCCUAUUUCCAGCAUUUGGUUGAGAAUCAGGGAGUUCCUGAGGUUUGACUAUAUUUUCUUCUUUUGUAUAUUUAUCUUGCAUAUUCUGCAAGUAUUUAUCAGAUAUUUUUCUUUGAAUGUUUGAUUCUUGCAGCCCUGAUUCACUGCUGGAUGUAUCAUCUUCCGACUCGUCUUCAACAUCUUCAUCUGUAGAUGUUCCAGUAAUUCUGGAGAACAUAUUUAGAGCAUUGCGCGCUGCAAUACGCUGAGGUCUGGAUGACUUUGCCUUGGAAGACUUUCCCUUAGAGACUUUCCGGCCAUUUUUUAAUUUCUUAGCUCCAUUACUUCCAGAUAUCAAGCCAUCACGCUCAUUCAAAUUCCUCUUCUUGACAUGCCUCCCAAAGGACUCGACCACUUCAAUUCUUUGUUUUGUUCUUCUUGACCUGCGAGGGCCAUCUUUCUGACUAUGUUCAAUGUCACUGUCCUCCAUACUACAAUCUGGAUCAAUGGCAGAGCUGUAACACAUGCUACCUUGUUCUCCUUCACUGGUGCAUUCCUCUGCAACAUUAUACUCCGAGUCAGCAUCAUCACUUAUGACUUCAUUUUCAGGCUCCCAGUAAAUGGCAUCUAUGAACUCUGGUAGUGGCUCAAUCAUUCUAUCCAAAUCUUCCAAAGGAGGCAUUUGAUAAUCCAGGCCCAAAUUGAAAUCUAUACCAACAGCAAAUUUUAUGGAUGGAGGAUGCCAUUCAAUACCAAGUGCACCGAGUCGACGUUUCUGGAACAUGGUCUGAUAAGGUUCCGGGUAUGGAAUCAUACUGGAAUCACAAAUAGGAUCUUGAAUGUUCCUUCGAUGUGGAGGGAGCUGUGUCUCCUGAUCAAGAACAUUUCCAGCAGAAUCCCGGAUAAGGGGCCGAUAGUCCCCAAGGAAGAACUGAUCAUAUUUGGCAUCCUUCUGGGACUCCCCUUGGCCUGUGUUCAGUAAAUGUAUCUGGCCAACAUCAUCUGAAAGAACUAUUGAUGUUCCAUCCGGCGAAAACUUCCCAUCAACCAACUUGAAACGUCCAAGUCCAAUUUCAUAUGUGCGAAUAGGAAUGCCCUCCCAUAUAUCCCAGACUAUUGUUCUUCCGUCAUAUCCAGCACUCAUAGCUAUCCGAGGGUUGAAAGGAUGAACAUCUAAAACAUAAGAAGAUGCAGUGUGACCAGUCAAAGAAUGUACCAAGCUACUAUCAGCAGCAUUCCAAACACAUAUUCUGCAAUCCAUUAUAGCUGCAAGCACAAAGCGAUUAUCCAAGCUCCACACAAUCAUAUUAACACCACGAGGAGUAGGAAGAAUCCUUUGACGCGGACCUCCUCGGGAAGGUUGAGGAGGCAAUGGGGGCGGUGGAACUUUCAGAUGAUAUGACUUAGUCCAACGUCCACAUUUUCCAUGGGAUCUGCGCGAUCUAGGACUCCAUAUAAUUGCGCUACCAUCACGAGAACAAGUGACUAUGUUAUCAUGACAGAACCAGGAAUUUUUGAAUUUGGGAACAUUCUCCUCCUUCAAAGUGUCAGACAAUGAAGAUCUUGAAGCCACAGCACAGCCACUGAACUGAACAUAAUUGACAUCAUUUUCAUGCCCAGAUAAUACAUCCAUCUCAUGAAUUGGUUGUUCUGACUCAUCUGUAGUAGAUUUAAAGGCACUCCAAACCCUUGCAUAAGUAUCAGAGCUACCAGUCACAAAGACAGUUCCAUUGGCAUUGUAAGCACAACAUAAUAUCUGAUUGCUCUGUGAACCAUUGCUUGAGGAGGAUCCAUUACUAAAUGGACCAUUGUUCUUACCUGCAGAAAAUUUCUGAUUUACCAAGCUUGUUCAUAUCUGCAGUAUAAUUAUGUCUAACCAACCAGUUGUAUGGGCAAACAUCUAACCAGAAAUAGCAUCGGAAGGUUUUGGCACAUAAAUUCGUGGACUGCACUGGGAAUAUCUAGCAUCCCAGAUUCGACAAGUUCCAUCAUCCGAUGACCUACAAAUUUUGCAGAUUAACUAACAACACAGAUUUCUGACAAGGGAAAUGCUUUAGAUAAGAAAGUGCUUAUAAAAUUUUGACAUGAACAAAGAUUGCAUCUGACAUGUCAUCGUGUAAGUAUAUGAUAUAUUUCAAAUAAAGCCACAUCAUCUCAUGACGCACACACAUUGAGACAAUUCCAAGCAAUUGACUCAUGAAAUUUGCAUUCGGCACUAUUAAUAAAAAGAUUUGUUAUUUUUUUAUCUUAUAUUUAUCUGCCAUUAUAUAAUUGAUAUGCUACAGCCACAGAGAGAUCAAAUCCAUUGGUAAGAUUCAUUAGUAUAUACAAUGUUGCACCAAAAAUAAACCAUACUUGUGCCACCUAGCCACGUGUUGAUUGAAAAUCCACAACCAUGACAUUGUGAAAAGUAACAAACAUCAUAUGACAUAUUAUCAUGAAAAUCAAAUCCGAAAUGAUGCAUAAAUAAAACUUAACUUUCCAGCUGUAAAAUGGACACAGCAAAUCAACUGAAUAAAUAGAAGUAAUAACCAAAGAAACAGAGCUCACGAUAAAAGUUGGUAGACAGAGCUAGGCCUGGGACUAAAUGCAAUGGCAGUAACAGCUCCAGUGUGCCCUCGCAAUACUGAUAUUGGCAACCCAUCAGGCAAGCGCCAUACUCGGAUGACGAAAUCAUUAGAAGCAGAAGCCACUAAAGCAUUGUUUGAACUUACAGCCAAGUCAGUAAUGUCACCUUCAUGCCCUCGGCAGCUUGCUAAGCAAAAUGCAGUUUCCAUGGACCAAAUCUUGACGAGACGAUCAUCCGAGCCAGUAAUCACAUACCUACCUAAGCGAUCAAAUAUAGCACAAUAGACUGCAUCACGAUGUCCCCUCAACUUCUUUAUGUUUUGCAUCUUUUGCACCAUGGUCAAUGGCUUAGCAAUAGCAUAGCAUGCAGAGCGAAUGGAUGAAGCACGAUGGUGCUUUGUAAAACCUCCACCAAUUUCCCUUAAACCUAAACCAUGCACCUGAUCAGCCUGCAUAUGAGGCCAACGCAGGUGCACAGGCGGAGACUUAGCUUGCUUAUUCAUACUCCUAAAACAAUCCAGAAGCGAAAAGGAGCCAGAUCCCAGUAAAGUAGGAACAUCAGCUGCAUUUGGAGGAUGUACUCCAGGCUUGUCAGGCACAGGAGGGGCUAUAUGCUGUAGCAGUUGCUUCAGAAGCUUCACCAAAUGAUCCUUCUCAAUAUGAGGAUACCUGUCCACCAAUUUAUUAUAACUCAAUGGAAGAGAGACACCAUCAUCAUCAUCAUUUCCGCUACAUGCACCACUUCUUGAAAACCAUGCAUGAUAUCUUCUAGGUAGAAGCUCAUGCUCUAAAAGCUCAUUCCAAAAGUGUCCAAAACUCUUUUGGCAAGGCCCAGAAGAAAGAAAAAGCAAAAUCAGGAAGUAAACUUCUCUAAGGUCUACAUCUACAUCAGUCCUCUGUUGUUGUUCAAUCUGGGACUUCUCCACCGCAUUAUUAGAAGUACUUAAAGGUGCCUUACUAAUAGAAGAUGCACACUUCCAGAAGUCCAUUUUUUGGUACAAUCUCAAAUAGAAUAUGCUUAGAUAAAGAAACGCCGAGCUCCUUCCACUCAGAGCAGUGGUGCAGAGAGAUUGAGAGCUGGCAGAAAUUGAAAAGAAAAAUGAUUACUGGAAAUCUAAAAAAAAAAAGUAGGAUUUUUUCGAUUCGGAUGUGGAAGGUGAAGUUGAAGAAUAUUAAAGUAGGACAAAAACAAGGUUUCACUUUACAUUUUUGAAAUUUGGUUGUUGUUGGUUUUCUUUCCUGUGCAGGGAAGGAGAGAAAAUGAAAUGAACAACGAAAUGGAGGG